AUGCGAGUCGAGAGAUUUCGGAUCUCGGCAGACGUCUCAGUAACACGCGGAUAAUCUGCCCUUGAGUGGAGGAUAAUCUCGGAAACCUGAGCAUAAUACUCCAUAGGCCUAGGAUGCUGGAAUGCUUUUAGAAUGAAAGCCUUGGCAGGAUGAGUCUGCGGCCUAUCAGGUUGUAGUGAGUGUAACGGACUCACUAGCCGACGACGGGUACGGGUCCUGAAAGGGAGUGCCCGGAGAUGGACUCUGAGACACGAGUCCAGGCCCUACGGGGCGCAGCAGCUACGAAAACUUCACAAUGCGGGGAACCGCGAUGAGGGAAUUCCAAGUGCUUAUACUUUGUAUAAGCUGUUUACUUGCCUAAAAAGCAGGUAGAGUAAGGGCUGGGUAAGACUGGUGCCAGCCGCCGCGGUAAUACCAGCAGCUCGAGUGGUGAUCGUUUUUAUUGGGCCUAAAGCGUCCGUAGCCGGUCUAGUAAACCCUUGGGUAAAUCGGGCAGCUUAACUGUUCGAAUUCUGAGGAGACUGCUAGACUUGGGACCGGGAGAGGUCAGAGGUACUCCUAGGGUAGGGGUGAAAUCCUGUAAUCCUAGGAGGACCACCAGUGGCGAAGGCGUCUGACUAGAACGGGUCCGACGGUAAGGGACGAAGCCCUGGGUCACGAACCGGAUUAGAUACCCGGGUAGUCCAGGGUGUAAACGCUGCGGGCUUGGUGUUGGGGGUCCUACGAGGGCGUCCAGUGCCGGAGAGAAGUUGUUAAGCCCGCCGCCUGGGGAGUACGGUCGCAAGACUGAAACUUAAAGGAAUUGGCGGGGGAGCACAGCAACGGGUGGAGCGUGCGGUUUAAUUGGAUUCAACGCCGGAA
RNAcentral lists this ribosomal RNA (861 nucleotides) under uncultured euryarchaeote. Its description in RNAcentral is "bacterial SSU rRNA". It matches the Rfam family "Archaeal small subunit ribosomal RNA", at positions 51 to 923 of the family's 1478-position model. The record is from RNAcentral. Lineage: Archaea; Methanobacteriati; Methanobacteriota.